Molecule: ribosomal RNA, 425 nt
Filed under: uncultured bacterium
Lineage: Bacteria
Description: partial 16S ribosomal RNA
Rfam family: Bacterial small subunit ribosomal RNA
Source: RNAcentral
GUUAGGAAUAUUGGACAAUGGGCGAAAGCCUGAUCCAGCCAUGCCGCGUGAACGAUGAAGGCCUUCGGGUUGUAAAGUUCUUUAGCCGAUGAUUAUAAUGACUGUAGUCGGAAAAUAAGCCCCGGCUAACUUCGUGCCAGCAGCCGCGGUAAUACGAAGGGGGCGAGCGUUAUUCGGAAUCACUGGGCGUAAAGCGUGCGUAGGCGGUUUUGUAAGUUAGGAGUGAAAGCCCAGGGCUCAACCUUGGAAUUGCUCUUAAAACUGCAAGGCUCGAAUCUCGGAGAGGAUAGCGGAAUUUCCAGUGUAGCAGUGAAAUGCGUAGAUAUUGGAAGGAACACCAGUGGCGUAAGCGGCUAUCUGGACGAGUAUUGACGCUGAGGCACGAAAGCGUGGGGAGCAAACAGGAUUAGAUACCCCUGUAGUCC